GAUGAACGCUGGCGGCGUGCCUAAUACAUGCAAGUCGAGCGAACGGACGAGAAGCUUGCUUCUCUGAUGUUAGCGGCGGACGGGUGAGUAACACGUGGAUAACCUACUUAUAAGACUGGGAUAACUUCGGGAAACCGGAGCUAAUACCAGAUAAUAUUUUGAACCGCAUGGUUCAAAAGUGAAAGACGGUCUUGCUGUCACUUAUAGAUGGAUCCGCGCUGCAUUAGCUAGUUGGUAAGGUAACGGCUUACCAAGGCAACGAUGCAUAGCCGACCUGAGAGGGUGAUCGGCCACACUGGAACUGAGACACGGUCCAGACUCCUACGGGAGGCAGCAGUAGGGAAUCUUCCGCAAUGGGCGAAAGCCUGACGGAGCAACGCCGCGUGAGUGAUGAAGGUCUUCGGAUCGUAAAACUCUGUUAUUAGGGAAGAACAUAUGUGUAAGUAACUGUGCACGUCUUGACGGUACCUAAUCAGAAAGCCACGGCUAACUACGUG
RNAcentral lists this ribosomal RNA (497 nucleotides) under uncultured bacterium. Its description in RNAcentral is "partial 16S ribosomal RNA". It matches the Rfam family "Bacterial small subunit ribosomal RNA", at positions 28 to 507 of the family's 1533-position model. The record is from RNAcentral.